RNAcentral lists this ribosomal RNA (568 nucleotides) under uncultured bacterium. Its description in RNAcentral is "partial 16S ribosomal RNA". It matches the Rfam family "Bacterial small subunit ribosomal RNA", at positions 355 to 1375 of the family's 1533-position model. The record is from RNAcentral.
UGGGGAAUAUUGCACAAUGGGCGAAAGCCUGAUGCAGCGACGCCGCGUGAGGGAUGACGGCCUUCGGGUUGUAAACCUCUUUCAGCAGGGAAGAAGCGAAAGUGACGGUACCUGCAGAAGAAGCGCCGGCUAACUACGUGCCAGCAGCCGCGGUAAUACGUAGGGCGCAAGCGUUGUCCGGAAUUAUUGGGCGUAAAGAGCUCGUAGGCGGUUAGUCGCGUCUGCUGUGAAAACUCGAGGCUCAACCUCGGGCUUGCAGUGGGUACGGGCUGACUAGAGUGCGGUAGGGGUGACUGGAAUUCCUGGUGUAGCGGUGGAAUGCGCAGAUAUCAGGAGGAACACCGAUGGCGAAGGCAGGUCACUGGGCCGCAACUGACGCUGAGGAGCGAAAGCAUGGGGAGCGAACAGGAUUAGAUACCCUGGUAGUCCAUGCCGUAAACGUUGGGCACUAGGUGUGGGGUCCAUUCCACGGAUUCCGUGCCGCAGCAAACGCAUUAAGUGCCCCCGCCUGGGGAGUACGGCCGCAAGGCUAAACUCAAAUGAAUUGACGGGGUCAUAGCUGUUUCCU